This 408-nucleotide ribosomal RNA is filed under the name Fusobacteriota bacterium. Its description in RNAcentral is "Fusobacteria bacterium partial 16S ribosomal RNA". It matches the Rfam family "Bacterial small subunit ribosomal RNA", at positions 355 to 775 of the family's 1533-position model. Lineage: Bacteria; Fusobacteriati; Fusobacteriota. The record is from RNAcentral.
UGGGGAAUAUUGCACAAUGGAGGGAACUCUGAUGCAGCAACGCCGCGUGCGGGAUGACGGCCUUCGGGUUGUAAACCGCUUUCAGCCAUGACGAAGCUUUUGUGACGGUAGUGGUAGAAGAAGCACCGGCUAACUACGUGCCAGCAGCCGCGGUGAUACGUAGGGUGCGAGCGUUGUCCGGAAUUAUUGGGCGUAAAGAGCUUGUAGGCGGUUUGUCGCGUCGAUAGUGUAAACACGCAGCUUAACUGUGUGCCUGCUGUCGAUACGGGCUGACUAGAGGAGGGUAGGGGAGAAUGGAAUUCCCGGUGGAGCGGUGGAAUGCGCAGAUAUCGGGAGGAACACCAGUGGCGAAGGCGGUUCUCUGGACCUUUCCUGACGCUGAGAAGCGAAAGCGUGGGUAGCAAACAG